RNAcentral lists this ribosomal RNA (468 nucleotides) under uncultured bacterium. RNAcentral describes it as "partial 16S ribosomal RNA". It matches the Rfam family "Bacterial small subunit ribosomal RNA", at positions 28 to 507 of the family's 1533-position model. The record is from RNAcentral.
GACGAACGCUGGCGGCGUGCUUAACACAUGCAAGUCGAACGGAAAGGCCCUGCUUUUGUGGGGUGCUCGAGUGGCGAACGGGUGAGUAACACGUGAGUAACCUGCCCUUGAUUUUGGGAUAACUUCAGGAAACUGGGGCUAAUACCGUAUAGGAGCUCCUGCUGCAUGGUGGGGGUUGGAAAGUUUCGGCGGUUGGGGAUGGACUCGCGGCUUAUCAGCUUGUUGGUGGGGUAGUGGCUUACCAAGGCUUUGACGGGUAGCCGGCCUGAGAGGGUGACCGGCCACAUUGGGACUGAGAUACGGCCCAGACUCCUACGGGAGGCAGCAGUGGGGAAUAUUGCACAAUGGGCGGAAGCCUGAUGCAGCAACGCCGCGUGCGGGAUGACGGCCUUCGGGUUGUAAACCGCUUUCGCCUGUGACGAAGCGUGAGUGACGGUAAUGGGUAAAGAAGCACCGGCUAACUACGUG